ACUGCAGUCACGAAAGCUUUAAAUCAAAAUUUAAAGUCUGAUGUUUCGUUUCAUAAUGCCGUCGUACAUUGUACUCUUUCAUCACGGCAACACUCUCUUUACAAAUCAAACAAACACACUUCCCCUUGGUUUCUAUGGAAAAAAAAUCAUUU
Non-coding RNA from Petromyzon marinus (sea lamprey), 152 nucleotides. The record is from RefSeq and is a predicted model, not a curated record. NCBI's taxonomy places the organism in Eukaryota, Metazoa, Chordata, Hyperoartia, Petromyzontiformes, Petromyzontidae.